AGAAGCAGAUGUGAGACAACUUCGGCAAGAACUGGCUGACACCGUAAAAAAGCAGUCUAUGUCAGAGGCUUCACUGGAAGUCAUGUCACGCUAUUGUGCUAACUUAGACGAUGAGACACAGGAUUUAAAGAACAACUUCCGUCAACUCACAAGUCAGAGACAGGCAGAAUCUCAACAGGUGGAACUCAGAAUUAAAGACUUGGAAUCUGAACUCUCUAAGAUGAAAACUUUGCAAGAAGAUAAUAAAGCAGAGUUUGAAACAUAUAAGCAUCUCUACCUAGUAGAAUUUGAAGUUAGAAAGUCAUUGCAAGAUGAACUAGACAAGUAAGUCCAAACACAGAAUCACAGAAAAUAAAUUUAUUUCCUUAAUUUGUCUCUAAAGCCUAACUUUUAUAGAGCGCGGUGCCUCAGAUUAGUCGGAAGUGAAAGCUGACUAGAUAGUCACUGCGAAGGGGGCGCCUUAGGACAGACUAAUUUAGUACUGUAUCAAGUGUUUCCACACUGUGUAGAGGCAUGCUUGUGAAAGAGGAGGAAAUUAAAGCAGAGGUGAAAGGCAGGGUAAUUCACAGAGUGGCUGACGCUGGCAUGGUGACCUGACUGAGGGGGUGUGUGGAGGCUGGAAAGGGCAGAUCCUGCCUGCAGUGCCGAGUCCAGGCUUCCCCGCCUCUGAAAGCAGAGCACUCCUAGGACGCCUUUCAUAAGCCCAGAGAGCAUACAGCAAAGGAGCAGGGACCCGAGGACACGUUCUGCUAGUCGAUGCCCCAAAUAAGCAUACACAAGGGAAGCCCAGGUGCUCCCAGAGGGGGUUCAGGGCUGUGGGACUUGAUGCUGAGAUGUGGGGUGUGGCUUCCGGGGAAGGAGCUCAGUGGGGCCAGUCUCCCUGCAUGGGGAGCGCCAUGCCUCUCCCUCUAAAAGGUACACUGAACGCUG
This 930-nucleotide long non-coding RNA is filed under the name Cervus hanglu yarkandensis (Yarkand deer). RNAcentral describes it as "lncRNA (ENSCHYG00000018021.1)". The record is from RNAcentral. Lineage: Eukaryota; Metazoa; Chordata; Mammalia; Artiodactyla; Cervidae.